This 460-nucleotide ribosomal RNA is filed under the name uncultured bacterium. RNAcentral describes it as "partial 16S ribosomal RNA". It matches the Rfam family "Bacterial small subunit ribosomal RNA", at positions 338 to 795 of the family's 1533-position model. The record is from RNAcentral.
CCUACGGGUGGCAGCAGUGAGGAAUAUUGGUCAAUGGGCGCGAGCCUGAACCAGCCAUGCCGCGUGAAGGUCAGUGCCCUAUGGGCGUUAAACUUCUUUUGUGCGGGAGCAAUAAUGGUCACGUGUGGCCAGACGAGAGUACCGUACGAAUAAGCAUCGGCUAACUCCGUGCCAGCAGCCGCGGUAAUACGGGGGAUGCAAGCGUUAUCCGGAUUUAUUGGGUUUAAAGGGUGCGUAGGCUGUGAGGUAAGUCAGCGGUGAAAUGCCCACGCUCAACGGGGUGAAGUGCCAUUGAUACUGCCUUGCUGGAAUGCGGAUGCCGUGGGAGGAAUGUGUGGUGUAGCGGUGAAAUGCAUAGAUAUCACGCAGAACUCCGAUUGCGAAGGCAGCUUACUAAACUAUAACUGACGUUGAGGCUCGAAAGCGUGGGGAGCAAACAGGAUUAGAUACCCUAGUAGUC